This 759-nucleotide ribosomal RNA is filed under the name uncultured Bacteroides sp. RNAcentral describes it as "bacterial SSU rRNA". It matches the Rfam family "Bacterial small subunit ribosomal RNA", at positions 28 to 776 of the family's 1533-position model. Lineage: Bacteria; Pseudomonadati; Bacteroidota; Bacteroidia; Bacteroidales; Bacteroidaceae. The record is from RNAcentral.
GAUGAACGCUAGCUACAGGCUUAACACAUGCAAGUCGAGGGGCAGCAUUAUCUUAGCUUGCUAAGAUAGAUGGCGACCGGCGCACGGGUGAGUAACACGUAUCCAACCUUCCGGUUACUCGGGGAUAGGCUUUCGAAAGAAAGAUUAAUACCCGAUGUUGCGUAUCUUUCUCCUGAAAGAUACGCCAAAGGAUUCCGGUAACCGAUGGGGAUGCGUUCCAUUAGGCAGUUGGCGGGGUAACGGCCCACCAAACCUUCGAUGGAUAGGGGUUCUGAGAGGAAGGUCCCCCACAUUGGAACUGAGACACGGUCCAAACUCCUACGGGAGGCAGCAGUGAGGAAUAUUGGUCAAUGGACGGAAGUCUGAACCAGCCAAGUAGCGUGAAGGAUGACUGCCCUCUGGGUUGUAAACUUCUUUUAUACGGGAAUAACAUGAGGUACGCGUACCUUAUUGCAUGUACCGUUAUGAAUAAGCAUCGGCUAACUCCGUGCCAGCAGCCGCGGUAAUACGGAGGAUGCGAGCGUUAUCCGGAUUUAUUGGGUUUAAAGGGAGCGUAGGUGGGAUAUUAAGUCAGCUGUGAAAGUUUGGGGCUCAACCUUAAAGUUGCAGUUGAUACUGGUUUCCUUGAGUACGGUACAGGUGGGCGGAAUUCGUGGUGUAGCGGUGAAAUGCUUAGAUAUCACGAAGAACUCCGAUCGCGAAGGCAGCUCACCGGGCCGGAACUGACACUGAUGCUCGAAAGUGCGGGUAUCAAACAGG